GAUGAACGCUGGCGGUAUGCUUAACACAUGCAAGUCGAACGGUCCCUUCGGGGGUAGUGGCGGACGGGUGAGUAACGCGUGAGAACAUGCCUUUAGAUUGGGGACAACAGUUGGAAACGACUGCUAAUACCGAAUGUGCCUUAGGGUGAAAGAUUUAUUGUCUAAAGAUUGGCUCGCGUCAGAUUAGCUAGUUGGAGUGGUAACGGCACACCAAGGCGACGAUCUGUACUUGGUCUGAGAGGAUGACCAGGCACACUGGAACUGAGACACGGUCCAGACUCCUACGGGAGGCAGCAGUGGGGAAUUUUCCGCAAUGGGCGAAAGCCUGACGGAGCAAUACCGUGUGAGGGAGGACGGCUUUUGGGUUGUAAAACCCUCUUUUCUCAAGGAAGAUGAUGACGGUACUUGAGGAAUAAGCAUCGGCUAACUCUGUGCCAGCAGCCGCGGUAAU
Molecule: ribosomal RNA, 451 nt
Filed under: uncultured cyanobacterium
Lineage: Bacteria; Bacillati; Cyanobacteriota
Description: bacterial SSU rRNA
Rfam family: Bacterial small subunit ribosomal RNA
Source: RNAcentral